UACGUAGGCAGCAAGCGUUGUUCGGAGUUACUGGGCGUAAAGGGUGUGUAGGCGGUUGCUUAAGUUUGGUGUGAAAUCUCCCGGCUCAACUGGGAGGGUGCGCCGAAUACUGAGUGGCUAGAGUGCGGGAGAGGAAAGUGGAAUUCCUGGUGUAGCGGUGAAAUGCGUAGAUAUCAGGAGGAACACCGGUGGUGUAGACGGCUUUCUGGACCGUAACUGACGCUGAGACACGAAAGCGUGGGUAGCAAACAGG
Molecule: ribosomal RNA, 253 nt
Filed under: uncultured bacterium
Lineage: Bacteria
Description: partial 16S ribosomal RNA
Rfam family: Bacterial small subunit ribosomal RNA
Source: RNAcentral